AUUUCUUAUCGUCACGUUAACAAUGUCUCGGUUUGGUCUUACCUUUCUGCCUCUUCUUCCGCAGCUCCACAGGAACCGUCAGCAGCAAACGGUUCGGAGGCUUUGCCCGGACACACCGACCUGUCGCUGAUCGGAGACCCAGAGGGAAAGACCUCCAGUCCAUCGGGAAGCACCAGCAUCUUCUUCGACACUAUAGGGGAGGAACAGCAGAACGAAAACAACAACAACCCAUCGGUUUGCUCCAGUGACCCAUUUGUUGAAAUACACCUGGAAGAUAAUCUCCUCAGCUCCUUUGAAGCUCCUUCCUCCGUCCUGCCCUUCUCUCCUUUCUCCUUCUUCUCUUCUUCCUCUUAGCACCUCCAAUGAUCAGAAUCAGAAUCAUUGUAUUACCAAGUAGGUUAAGAGAUAUUAGUUGGUGUAUUUGGUGCUUACAUAAACACAGUCAAAGAAGAUACAAUUGUAAGAAAAGGACCAUCAAAUAAAACAAGGUUAAAAAAACGAAAUUUAACGAAAAAUAUUAUAACAUUAAAAUACAGUAAUAUUUACAUGAAAUAUAGAUUAAAUAUAGAUGUAUAGUCCCGUAACAAAUACAAUAUAAUAAAAUAAAGUGUGCGCAGUAUUGGUAUGAUAAAGGGUACUUAAAACACACACACACACACACACACACACACACACACACACACACACACACACACACACACACACACAGUUAUUUUAGAGACUUUUUGUCCUCGGAUCAGUGAAACAGCAGUUAGCUCAGUUAGCAGAAACUACCGUUAGCUAGCUAAGCUAACUGGCUAAGCUAACUAGCUAGUAGGAUGAUUAGGCAGUUUAUUUGUAUUGCCGUUUCUAAAGUAUUAGGAGUAUUAAUACAUAUAAAUAACAAGUAAACAGAGAGCAACAGUAACUGUAUAAUAUGACAGAUAUACAUUCAUAUUUUUUAAAGCUAUUUUGUGAAGUUAUACACCUCUCUGUGUAAAAUACUAGAAACUGAAAUCAUGUAGGACUUUUUAUUUGUAGUAUUUUCAGUAUUUUUACAUAAGAAUGUUUUUUUUUUAUAUGUUUUUCAGAAAAUACAUUUUACUGCUGACAUUUUGCUUAAAUUAGAUGGGUUUUGGACCAGACUGACAUACAAAUGUGUAACGUUGUGUUGUAUAGACAAACUGAUGUUGUUGUUUUUUUAUCAUUAUGCCUUGUGUUCGUGUUUUCAGUGGCUUGUAAUUAUAUUUUGAAUAAAUCAGAACUUGUUCAUGAGUUGUACAACUGUUAUUUUUCACAAUUGCUAGAUCUGUUUACAUUUUUUAAAUAAAACUUCACUCCAACUGUU
This is a long non-coding RNA of Notothenia coriiceps (black rockcod), 1327 nucleotides long. RefSeq lists it as uncharacterized. The transcript is spliced from 2 exons. The record is from RefSeq and is a predicted model, not a curated record. NCBI's taxonomy places the organism in Eukaryota, Metazoa, Chordata, Actinopteri, Perciformes, Nototheniidae.